Molecule: ribosomal RNA, 253 nt
Filed under: uncultured bacterium
Lineage: Bacteria
Description: partial 16S ribosomal RNA
Rfam family: Bacterial small subunit ribosomal RNA
Source: RNAcentral
UACGUAGGGUGCGAGCGUUAAUCGGAAUUACUGGGCGUAAAGCGUGCGCAGGCGGUUUUUGAAGUCAGAUGUGAAAGCCCCGGGCUUAACCUGGGAAUGGCAUUUGGGACUGCAAGGCUCGAGUGCGGCAGAGGAGACUGGAAUUCCUGGUGUAGCAGUGAAAUGCGUAGAUAUCAGGAGGAAUACCGAUGGCGAAGGCAGGUCUCUGGGCUGACACUGACGCUCAUGCACGAAAGCGUGGGGAGCAAACAGG